AACGUAGGAGACAAACGUUAUCCGGAGUUACUGGGCGUAAAGGGCGUGUAGGCGGUCUGUUAAGUCUGGCGUGAAAGCUCUCGGCUAAACCGGGAGAGGUCGUUGGAUACUGGCAGACUAGAGGACGGUAGAGGCGUGUGGAAUUCCGGGUGUAGUGGUGAAAUGCGUAGAGAUCCGGAGGAACACCAGUGGCGAAGGCGGCAUCCUGGACCAUAACUGACGCUGAGGCGCGAAAGCUAGGGGAGCAAACGGG
Molecule: ribosomal RNA, 253 nt
Filed under: uncultured bacterium
Lineage: Bacteria
Description: partial 16S ribosomal RNA
Rfam family: Bacterial small subunit ribosomal RNA
Source: RNAcentral